UGAAACCUACUGGGGGCAGCAGUAGGGAAUCUUGCUCAAUGGGGUCACCCCUGAAGCAGCAACGCCGCGUGGAGGAUGAAGGUUUUCGGAUUGUAAACUCCUUUUGUUAGAGAAGAUAAUGACGGUAUCUAACGAAUAAGCACCGGCUAACUCCGUGCCAGCAGCCGCGGUAAUACGGAGGGUGCAAGCGUUACUCGGAAUCACUGGGCGUAAAGAGCGCGUAGGCGGGAUAGCAAGUCAGAUGUGAAAUCCUAUGGCUUAACCAUAGAACUGCAUUUGAAACUGUUAUUAUAGAGUAUGGGAGG
RNAcentral lists this ribosomal RNA (305 nucleotides) under uncultured bacterium. RNAcentral's name for it is "bacterial SSU rRNA". It matches the Rfam family "Bacterial small subunit ribosomal RNA", at positions 333 to 655 of the family's 1533-position model. The record is from RNAcentral.